RNAcentral lists this ribosomal RNA (447 nucleotides) under uncultured bacterium. Its description in RNAcentral is "bacterial SSU rRNA". It matches the Rfam family "Bacterial small subunit ribosomal RNA", at positions 330 to 794 of the family's 1533-position model. The record is from RNAcentral.
CCCAGACUCCUACGGGAGGCAGCAGUGGGGGAUAUUGCACAAUGGGGGAAACCCUGAUGCAGCGACGCCGCGUGAGUGAAGAAGUAAUUCGUUACGUAAAGCUCUCUCAGCAGGGAAGAAAAUGACGGUACCUGACUAAGAAGCCCCGGCUAACUACGUGCCAGCAGCCGCGGUAAUACGUAGGGGGCAAGCGUUAUCCGGAUUUACUGGGUGUAAAGGGGGCGCAGACGGCAGCGCAAGCCAGGAGUGAAAGCCCGGGGCCCAACCCCGGGACUGCUCUUGGAACUGCGCGGCUGGAGUGCAGGAGGGGCAGGCGGAAUUCCUGGUGUAGCGGUGAAAUGCGUAGAUAUCAGGAGGAACACCGGUGGCGAAGGCGGCCUGCUGGACUGCGACUGACGUUGAGGCCCGAAAGCGUGGGGAGCAAACAGGAUUAGAUACCCUAGUAUA